CCUGGGGUCCUGUUUCUGGGAGACUGGUGACCCUGGACCAGUGAAAGGGAGAAGAGGCGAAGAAGGCCAGGAGACCUCCUCACUGUGAGGCGCAUUCGCCCUUGUCCCGCAGACUGCAGGUGUUUUUCUCGGGUGCCUUCAUCUAAUGUGUUAAACAUUUAUUGAGCACCUACUUUGGCAGACCCUUUGUGCAGGACCAGGGCGGUCUCCAUUAAUGGGGGAACCAGUGGCUUGAGAUUGCUUUUCCUGCAGUGAUUGCAUCCUUCUCUUUGAACAGAUAAGGCGAGUGCACUACACUUUUCGGCAGUUUGGGGAAGGAGAGUUGCUGCUGGAUCAGGGUGAUGAUAAAACUUCACUGAGAAGCCUGAAAGAAUAAGAGCUGGAGUCAGAAGUUCACCUGGAGAGAAAGGUGAAUGAAUACAAAGGAAUAAGUGGGAAAAAAAUUAUAUAUGUGUGUAUACAUGUGUAUACAUAUAUAUGUAUACACAUAUAUAUACGUGUAUAUGUACACACACACACACACACACACACGCACAUACACACCCUGCACACCCUGUUGGGGGUUAAAACCUGAAUGUAUCAUUCAUAGAGCCGAAACGAUGGGUGGAAGAGUAGUUGAAGCUCCUCUGGAAAUCAUUUUUAACGCUUAACCUCAAAAUUUUGCUUUUUUUCGUGAGUACUUGAAAAAUGUUAAAGAUGGGGGGAGAGGGGAGGCGGUGGUCUGAUUAACUUAAAUAUAUGAAGACUGGAGACCUACAAUGUAGUAUAUAUUCUGGUACGAAGUGGUAGUGUCCUAAAUUCUAGUGUUGGCACCAGGAAUGGAAAGCACGGAAAAGUUUUCAGAGAUUGUGAAGAACAAGAUUCCCUAGCUUUUGUCACUGCCUUUUCGGGGAUACGGAGCUGUUUAUAAUGACAGACACCUACUUCAUUCAAUUAGAUCAUCAUCUUUGAGUGCCUGUGGAUGUGAGCUGCAAUCUUUCCCUUGGGUGUCCAGUCUGCCAGCCCACCCUCCAGAUUUUGGACUUACCAACCUCCACAAUCAUAGCCACUUACAAGACAGAUGGAGGACAAAGCCACUUAGAAGAUACUCGGAGGACAACCCUACCAAGUGAGAGAGCAGAGCCAAGCCCCAGGAAACAGACUGGACCCAUAGAGGAAACCCUGCAGAAAAAAAUGUAAAGAUGACAGAAAAGGUGUAGCUUAAUUGGAUGGACAAGUCAAAAAUCAUAUGACUAAGCAGAAAACCUGGGAAAUGUACCAUAUUACCAGACAAAAGCCUGUGGUAUAUUUUCUGUAGUCUGGACACUGUUCCAGGAACCACAGGAGAGAUGCAUCCUCGCAGAAGCCUUGGCAUUUGUCAAAAAAUGAGCAGUGUGGGGCAACAGAGCCAGGCACCCGCAGGAGCCCAGGAAGUACUGGAUGGCAGCUGUUGGAUGGCCCCAAUGACUUUGGAAGCUCGGAUAUCUGUGCUGACUGCAUGCACUGUCUCCCGUCUGGGGAUGAAGUGAGAGGACUCUUCAAUGAAAAAGCACAGCUGGCUCUGAGGUGACAUUUUCUAAAGCAGCCUUGGCAUACAACUCCAUUUACCUGCCUUGGUUUACAGAAGGAAAUGAGGCUGCUUCUACCCCACUUCCCUCAACGCAUUGUAGGUCUUGAGUCUUAUGUGAAUUGAUGUCUGGACUGACACAUUUUUGGGUAGAGCAUCCCCAACACACCAGCAGAUGGCUGGCACACCUGUUUUCCUGAGUCUUGGUUCAAAACAAAAUUCAGCAUUUCACUUGUUCAGGAUUUCUGUGUCACAUUUUGCACCUUUCCUAGAGACUGUGCAGAAAGAUAAACUGUUUGUGAACACAAAUUAUUGUCAUUUUAAAAUAAUAACUUAUAUUAGUGUUUUUCACAUUUUUCACAUGACAGCUGUCUUAACUUGGGUCCUUAGAAACAAAACCUGAGGUAGGGGUUUUGUGCAAGGGAUGUAUGGCAGAGGGACUUGAUCUCAGAAGGAACCUGCAUGGGAACAAAGAGAGCAAGAUGGACAGGGGAAAAGUCAGGCAUGGAUAUAGGCUCCAGUGGACUCUAGAUUGGCUUCAUCUGGCUUGAAAGUUCUGAAACACAAAGUGUACCAUGUAGCUGCUCCCCUUGAGGUCAGGAGCUCAUCUUUUCUACUCACAUGUUGGUCAAUCAUCAUCAUUUCCCGGAGGGAGGGGAAAACCUCCAAGCAUUUCCAGGGGGCUCCCCAGAGGGCAGUUCUCCUGCAAAGGCCAUCACUGCAAACUAUUAGCAGCCAACAGUCAAAGCAACUGGAAGACAGGUGCACCAAUGCUCAAUGGGGUCUGAGUGGGAACGCACAGCAUCACCACAACCCAUUAUAUGUAGGUAAUUACUUUGCAUUGUAACUUAUACACAUAGAUACACAAAUAGAGCUAUAUACAAAAAAAAAAAAGAAGUUUCCCAAAUAAUGCUUAUUUUUCUACCUGUGGGUCGAUGUGAAUAAUUUAAAUGAUUUUUAUUUUAUUCUAGUCUAUUUUAAUUCAUAAAAAAAAUCAGUAGUCAUGGCUCACUAUUAGGUGGCAACCUGCAGUUUGUAAAAGCUUGAUUUGUAGCUAAAUACUCUUUAAAAGCCAAUCAUUUUUAAGUGAUUUAAUUAGAUUUAUACGAUACUU
Molecule: long non-coding RNA, 2660 nt
Organism: Leopardus geoffroyi (Geoffroy's cat)
Lineage: Eukaryota; Metazoa; Chordata; Mammalia; Carnivora; Felidae
Exons: 5
Source: RefSeq, a predicted model, not a curated record